GAACGGUGAUAGCAAUAUCAUAGUGGCGCACGGGUGCGUAACACGUAUGCAACCUACCUAUUAUUGGGGGAUAGCCUUUGGAAACGGAGAUUAAUACCGCAUAAUACGAUUGACUGGCAUCGGUUGAUUGUUAAAGCUUAGGCGAUAAUAGAUGGGCAUGCGUCCAAUUAGUUAGUUGGUUAGGUAACGGCUGACCAAGACGAUGAUUGGUAGGGGAUCUGAGAGGAUAAUCCCCCACACUGGCACUGAGAUACGGGCCAGACUCCUACGGGAGGCAGCAGUAGGGAAUAUUGGGCAAUGGGCGGAAGCCUGACCCAGCCAUGCCGCGUGCAGGAAGAAGGCGUUAUGCGUUGUAAACUGCUUUUUUAUAGGAAGAAGGAUCCCUUGCGAGGGAAGGUGACGGUACUAUAAGAAUAAGCACCGGCUAACUCCGUGCCAGCAGCCGCGGUAAUACGGAGGGUGCAAGCGUUGUCCGGAUUUAUUGGGUUUAAAGGGUGCGUAGGCGGUUUAUUAAGUCAGUGGUGAAAGACGGUCGCUCAACGAUUGCAGUGCCAUUGAUACUGGUAGACCUGAGUGAGAUUGAGGUAGCUGGAAUGGAUAGUGUAGCGGUGAAAUGCAUAGAUAUUAUCCAGAACACCGAUUGCGAAGGCAGGUUACUAAGUCUUAACUGACGCUGA
This 677-nucleotide ribosomal RNA is filed under the name uncultured bacterium. Its description in RNAcentral is "bacterial SSU rRNA". It matches the Rfam family "Bacterial small subunit ribosomal RNA", at positions 64 to 749 of the family's 1533-position model. The record is from RNAcentral.